GGCAGUGGUUCCCCUUUCCCGCUCCUCUAAGGAUGCUUAGACUAACCGAGUGUUUUCUAUGUGGUUCUCCUUGAAGGUCAUAGCAGCAAACCCCGAGAGAGGAUGUAUAAGGAAUACCAAGCCUUUCCCAACAAAAAGCGGGAAGGGGCCCAGGCCCCAGGAGUCCCUCGCCGAAGGAGGACUCACAGAAAUAAAAUCCACACGCACCUGGAGAUCCGAAGUCUCCCGGCUGGGUGCACGAGUCUACCCUGCUUCCGCCUCGUCAGGCCUGUUCUCCUUGGGUUCACACAGCCAUUUACCAGACCUCUUAGUCCCCACAUCGCCGGAGAGAUCGAGCGUCCCAUCCCCAGGAGUCAUGCCACGAGCACGAAAAGGUUGCAUUAAUGAUGGACAGUGCUCAGCAAGACAGUCGAAAGACUGCCGGAGGGAAAGGUUGCUAUCACUGUCAAGAUCAUUAAGUCGCCGGCGUUUCUUCCUGCGAGCAGCAGCUGCCCUCUGGGGCCGUUUAUUUUCCUUUCUUUCUUCAUCCAAAAUAGUAGAAAUGUCUUUCCCACGGUGACCUGUGAUGGUGGAGAUAUCUUUUCCCCGGCCAACUCCUGAAAGGAAGAAGUGUCUGUGGGCCUUUCUGACUCAACAAUAAUUUUAGGUCCCACAACAAGAAUGAAAGCCACUGAGUAAAACAGGUGGGGAUGCACCUGUCCUGGGACACACAGGCUGCACAGCCGCUGUGCUCUCCUCUCCUCUCUGUGGGCAUCACUGUGCUGGACGAUGCAGACGUGUGAAGAAGAGGCCUCCUCGGUGGAGGGGACCAUGACAGUGUCUGUUCCUCCUUGGGAUGCUGAAUACACUCUAUGUUGAAUACCUGUGUUUUCUGUCAGUACCAGUUCAUGCCAGAUCAAAGUGGACUUCUCCAUUUGAAGCAACAUGUUGUUAAUACUUUUAUAUUAUUUUCUAUUUUAGAUUUUAUACAAUACAAGAAAUAAAAGACCAAAUAUCAAAUUG
RNAcentral lists this long non-coding RNA (1002 nucleotides) under Mus caroli (Ryukyu mouse). Its description in RNAcentral is "lncRNA (MGP_CAROLIEiJ_G0004056.1)". Lineage: Eukaryota; Metazoa; Chordata; Mammalia; Rodentia; Muridae. The record is from RNAcentral.